This 99-nucleotide non-coding RNA is filed under the name Arthrobacter sp. Its description in RNAcentral is "TPP sequence". It matches the Rfam family "TPP riboswitch aptamer (THI element)". From Rfam's summary of the family: Vitamin B(1) in its active form thiamin pyrophosphate (TPP) is an essential coenzyme that is synthesised by coupling of pyrimidine and thiazole moieties in bacteria. The previously detected thiamin-regulatory element, thi box was extended, resulting in a new, highly conserved RNA secondary structure, the THI element, which is widely distributed in eubacteria and also occurs in some archaea. RNAcentral also lists the same sequence under 1 other name. Lineage: Bacteria; Bacillati; Actinomycetota; Actinomycetes; Micrococcales; Micrococcaceae. The record is from RNAcentral.
GAAAAAGACACGGGGUGCCGGACUAUCAGGGCCGGCUGAGAAAAGACCCGUUGAACCUGUCCGGUUAGCACCGGCGAAGGGAUGUCCGGAUGAAUCACA